RNAcentral lists this ribosomal RNA (442 nucleotides) under uncultured bacterium. RNAcentral describes it as "bacterial SSU rRNA". It matches the Rfam family "Bacterial small subunit ribosomal RNA", at positions 958 to 1398 of the family's 1533-position model. The record is from RNAcentral.
AACGCGAAGAACCUUACCUACCCUUGACAUCCUCGGAAGCUGCUAGAGAUAGCGGUGUGCCUUAGGGAACCGAGAGACAGGUGCUGCAUGGCUGUCGUCAGCUCGUGUCGUGAGAUGUUGGGUUAAGUCCCGUAACGAGCGCAACCCUUGUUCUUAGUUGCCAUCAGGUAGAGCUGGGCACUCUAAGGAGACUGCCGGUGAUAAGCCGGAGGAAGGUGGGGAUGACGUCAAGUCCUCAUGGCCCUUACGGGUAGGGCUACACACGUGCUACAAUGGGCGGUACAAAGGGAAUCGAAGCUGUGAAGCGAAGAGGAUCUUGAUAAAGCUGCUCGUAGUCCGGAUUGGAGUCUGCAACUCGACUCCAUGAAGUUGGAAUCGCUAGUAAUCGCAGAUCAGCACGCUGCGGUGAAUACGUUCCCGGGCCUUGUACACACCGCUAGUC